AUACGGAGGCUGCAAGCGUUACUCGGAAUCACUGGGCGUAAAGCGCGCGCAGGCGGCCAUUUAAGUUGGAUGUGAAAGCCUACGGCUCAACCGUAGAACUGCAUCCAAAACUAUUUGGCUAGAGUGUGGGAGAGGAAGAUGGAAUUAGUUGUGUAGGGGUAAAAUCCGUAGAGAUAACUAGGAAUACCAAAAGCGAAGGCAAUCUUCUGGAACACUACUGACGCUGAGGCGCGAAGGCGUGGGGAGCAAACAGGAUUAGAAACCCCGGUAGUCC
RNAcentral lists this ribosomal RNA (274 nucleotides) under uncultured bacterium. Its description in RNAcentral is "partial 16S ribosomal RNA". It matches the Rfam family "Bacterial small subunit ribosomal RNA", at positions 523 to 796 of the family's 1533-position model. The record is from RNAcentral.